GAGUUCUUAUUCCCCAGAUCAGUAACUAGCUGUGCGGCUUUGAACGGGUCCCUUCACUUCUCAGAGCCUCUUUUUCCUCGUGUGAAAGAAAGGGAAGGAAUUUUUACAGUUUUAUUUGUAUGUGUCUAUUUCAUCUCCAUUUUAUUAAAAACUGGGCUCAGGUUGAACACACUUGGUCAAAAUGAACCCUCUUUCUAAAUGCCAAUUCACAGGAUUGUUCCAUAUCCAGAGAUGUGUGGAUGGAAAGGUUCCUUAUUCAAAUCUUAUUAAUGAAUUCCAGACACCCAGGACACCCCCAGCAACAAGGAAUCUUUCGCUGAGUUGGUUCAUGCCAUUUUUGGACAGCAUGAAUUAUCACAGAUGUCUCCAGCAGAGAAUGCAUGAAACUCAGUUGAUAAUUCUUACAAAUGGUACCAAACAAAGGAAGAAAAUACCAGAACCAAUGGGCUAAUGCAACACAAUACAAAGAACAGAGGAGAAUGGGAAUUUCCAUGAAGUGGGUAACCUAUUUUUGGCAAGGUUGAAGAGAGACCCUGCAAACAAGCCCAAGGCAUGUUAAGAGUGAUAAUAGCUAAGAUCUACUGACCACUUAAUAUUGUGCCGAGUACUCUGUUUGAUGAAUGAACAGCCAUACAGAAAUGUGAUUGGACACAAAGGAUCUGGCCUAACGGUGAAGGACGGAGUGGGGAAACCCAGCAAAACCACAGAAUUUUUUACUGAGUACUUCAGUUACAAGGUAGAGCGUGAACCCUGCAAGAGAAAUGAGCUCCUAUUGAUUUGUUUAUAAAUUAUCACAACAAAACAAAAUGCCCCUGGCUAAACUGGGAUCUGGGAUUUGGGGUUGUGCCAACCGUCAGGUCAUCACUGUUCAACUCCAAAUACACCCCUUAAUAGCUGCUCUGUGA
Homo sapiens (human) is the source of this 905-nucleotide long non-coding RNA. RefSeq lists it as uncharacterized. The record is from RefSeq and is a predicted model, not a curated record. The transcript is spliced from 4 exons. Lineage: Eukaryota; Metazoa; Chordata; Mammalia; Primates; Hominidae.